UGAGCAUUACUAGUGUGACCCAAACAGAAAAAAAUGGAAGGAUAUAGAAAAAAUCAUCACAGCCCUGUCUCAAGGAUGACAGGCAAACUUGUGAAGUGUCCUAUAUUUAA
This 110-nucleotide small nuclear RNA is filed under the name Sorex araneus (European shrew). Lineage: Eukaryota; Metazoa; Chordata; Mammalia; Eulipotyphla; Soricidae. The record is from RNAcentral.